RNAcentral lists this unclassified non-coding RNA (492 nucleotides) under Hevea brasiliensis (rubber tree). The record is from RNAcentral. Lineage: Eukaryota; Viridiplantae; Streptophyta; Magnoliopsida; Malpighiales; Euphorbiaceae.
UUUUUUUUUUUUUAAAAUAUAAGAAAUAAAUAUGAGAUAAAAUAGAUACUUAUAAUCUCAACAAAGGAAACACCAACAAAACCAAAGAUCUCGCUAACCAAACACCAAAUACGAACAGAUUCUUGAACAUCAAAAUGGGUUUGAGUCUCUUGAACAUCAAAAUAUAGCAAACUCAUCCUAUACGCCAAGCUCUUACUAGCCAAAGACCUCGCUGAUGCACUCAUGCACAUCUACCAGCAAUCCCCAAAUGGGCUUGUGUCGUGAGUCUUGGUUUGAGGGAAGAGGCGUGAAGACGAGGGAGAUGCAGGUGGCGAUGUCGAAGGAGAAGAAAAAUGAUGAAAUUAAGGAGCCUAGUCAUAGAUUCUGUGUUAAGCCAGUGAGGAGCGUGAAGAAGAAAUUUAUGAGCACAAGAAGAACAGAAUAAGAAGAGGAGGAGGAAGACCAGCAAAUAUGCAGUUGCGAAAGAGAGGCAACGUAAGUGCUAAGGGGGAA